UAUUCUCUAUUCUUAUUCUUUUUAGUGCCAAAGGACUCAAACUGUGGAAAUCUAAGUCUCUGAGGAUUCCUGUGUGACCAAAGGCUGCAUUUCUCUUCUCAAAGCUCUAUCCCUGCGGUGCUGCUGUCCACGCGUGGGGAGCUGCUAGAGGAUAAGGACAACUGCAAAGAAAGUCAGCUUUUGAGCAUUCCUUUGUGGAGCUGAAAGAACAUAAAGUCAUCACAGAGAGCCUCAUUAAAAGUGUUUAAUGAGAGCAGCACAAUCCCACAGCCCAAGGAUCAGCAUUAUAGCAAGGACUGCCCAGAAGCCUCAUCCCACCAAAGCCAGAUAUCACCAGGAGACCCCAUUCAGUGAGGGGUGCAUUGACUGCUGUCACCAGCACCCAGACAAGCACAGGAGACAAAGCAACCCAAGAGAACUGCAGCUGGAUAACAACACCAGUGCAAAUUUCUCAGCCCAGAACAAGCCAAGAUUCAUUUCUGGCCAAAAUUCCUGCACUAAUGCUAACCACCAUCUGAUUACAUGAUUUUCCUGAGAUCCUGAUGCAAGUCACUGUCACAGCCCUGGUUCCCUGUUGCCCACCUCUGCCUCUGGUUGGUCCAGUGCCCUUUGCAGCCCCAUCACCUGCACUCUGCUCACCACUGGAAAAACAUGCUCGUUUUCAAAGGUGUGUGGCUGAAGCUGUGCUUGGGACAAGUCCGAAUGCUCUCUGUCUGGGGAACAGGAUGGGGCUGAAUGGAAGAGAAGCAGCAAUUAAUGCAGAAAGAAGAAGAAAGAAGGAGAUUUCUCCACGCAGUCAACGUGUUGCAUGUGCACAUCCAGAGUUCUCACUCAACCAAAAAACAAUUCACUGACUGACGAAACUCCUCCCCAUGUUGAUUCAUUCCCUGUGCUGCACAUCUGCUCCUGGAAGGUAAUGUCAUGCAUCUGUGUCCAUAGUGAACUCACUAUUUUCCCCUCUCCUAGAUGCAUAGGCAAGUAUUUGCUUUCAUGCUCACAUCUGACCACAAUCUGUGAGCAAAUCAGGCGUGUUCAGCAAUGCUGCUCUUAGCUGCGCUUCCAAGGUUUUGUGUCAACAGGAACACUAGGUCAAUUUGCAAACAGCCCCAGAAAAUCUGGUGCAGCAUCUCUCACACUACUGACAGGGACUGCUUGAAUUCAGCAUUGCCAGGCUAACAGUUGUCAUUCAGCUCUUGAGCAGAUUUGCACCACCACCUCAUCUAUUUUUCAUCAGUCUUGCACCCUCUGUGACAUCCAUGUCAAUCCAUGAGUUCAGUCUGAUUCGGUUCAAUCCUACACAUACCAAGUGUGUGCAC
Meleagris gallopavo (turkey) is the source of this 1316-nucleotide non-coding RNA. Lineage: Eukaryota; Metazoa; Chordata; Aves; Galliformes; Phasianidae. The record is from RefSeq and is a predicted model, not a curated record.